RNAcentral lists this ribosomal RNA (253 nucleotides) under uncultured bacterium. RNAcentral's name for it is "partial 16S ribosomal RNA". It matches the Rfam family "Bacterial small subunit ribosomal RNA", at positions 524 to 776 of the family's 1533-position model. The record is from RNAcentral.
UACGGAGGGUGCGAGCGUUAAUCGGAAUUACUGGGCGUAAAGGGUUCGUAGGUGGUGAGAUAAGUCAGAUGUGAAAGCCCGGGGCUUAACCUGGGAGUUGCAUAUGAAACUGUUUGACUAGAGUUUGGUAGAGGAUUGGGGAAUUUCCAGUGUAGCGGUGAAAUGCGUAGAGAUUGGGAAGAACAUCGGUGGCGAAGGCAACAAUCUGGACCUGAACUGACACUGAGGGACGAACGCGUGGGUAGCAAACAGG